AGUGAACGCUGGCGGUAGGCCUAACACAUGCAAGUCGAACGGCAGCACAGUAAGAGCUUGCUCUUACGGGUGGCGAGUGGCGGACGGGUGAGGAAUACAUCGGAAUCUACUUUUUCGUGGGGGAUAACGUAGGGAAACUUACGCUAAUACCGCAUACGACCUACGGGUGAAAGCAGGGGAUCUUCGGACCUUGCGCGAUUGAAUGAGCCGAUGUCGGAUUAGCUAGUUGGCGGGGUAAAGGCCCACCAAGGCGACGAUCCGUAGCUGGUCUGAGAGGAUGAUCAGCCACACUGGAACUGAGACACGGUCCAGACUCCUACGGGAGGCGGCAGUGGGGAGUAUUGGACAAUGGGCGCAAGCCUGAUCCAGCCAUACCGCGUGGGUGAAGAAGGCCUUCGGGUUGUAAAGCCCUUUUGUUGGGAAAGAAAAGCAGCAGGUUAAUACCCCGCUGUUCUGACGGUACCCAAAGAAUAAGCACCGGCUAACUUCGUG
Molecule: ribosomal RNA, 492 nt
Filed under: uncultured bacterium
Lineage: Bacteria
Description: partial 16S ribosomal RNA
Rfam family: Bacterial small subunit ribosomal RNA
Source: RNAcentral